GCCGAGUUGGGUAACAUCAGCUUAUAACCCAAGUGGGGGCACCAAGGUGAUGGAACAAAACUUUGGAUUAAUUAGGUUGGGUUGGUGGCUGCACCAUGCUGGCCUGCCCGCUCCAAGUUGAGAGUUGAACCAUGGGGUCUGAGCGAAGGCACAGGUUUCCUGGUUUCUAGACGAGGGGGUAUUGCGUGAGGCUGGUUUCACAGAGCAGCGAUCACCCCUGGCUCUUGACAGUGGAGGGAUUACAGGUUGCUUCACUUCCAGCCCAUAUAAACCUGAUGAUCCUAGCUCUUGAACCAUCACUUUU
Non-coding RNA from Glycine max (soybean), 304 nucleotides. Lineage: Eukaryota; Viridiplantae; Streptophyta; Magnoliopsida; Fabales; Fabaceae. The record is from Rfam.